RNAcentral lists this ribosomal RNA (445 nucleotides) under uncultured bacterium. RNAcentral's name for it is "partial 16S ribosomal RNA". It matches the Rfam family "Bacterial small subunit ribosomal RNA", at positions 354 to 796 of the family's 1533-position model. The record is from RNAcentral.
GUAGGGAAUAUUGGGCAAUGGAGGCAACUCUGACCCAGCCAUGCCGCGUGCAGGAUGACGGCCCUCUGGGUUGUAAACUGCUUUUAUACGGGAAGAAAAAAUACUACGUGUAGUAUACUGACGGUACCGUAAGAAUAAGGAUCGACUAACUCCGUGCCAGCAGCCGCGGUAAUACGGAGGAUCCAAGCGUUGUCCGGAUUUAUUGGGUUUAAAGGGUGCGUAGGCGGAUCUUUAAGUCAGUGGUGAAAGCCUGCAGCUUAACUGUAGAAUUGCCAUUGAAACUGAAGAUCUUGAAUGUGGUUAAAGUAGGCGGAAUGUAUCAUGUAGCGGUGAAAUGCUUAGAUAUGAUACAGAACACCGAUAGCGAAGGCAGCUUGCUGAACCAUUAUUGACGCUGAGGCACGAAAGCGUGGGGAGCGAACAGGAUUAGAAACCCUUGUAGUCC